Molecule: ribosomal RNA, 292 nt
Filed under: uncultured bacterium
Lineage: Bacteria
Description: partial 16S ribosomal RNA
Rfam family: Bacterial small subunit ribosomal RNA
Source: RNAcentral
GUGUCAGCAGCCGCGGUAAUACGAAGGGUGCAAGCGUUAAUCGGAAUUACUGGGCGUAAAGCGCGUGUAGGCGGUUGGCUAAGUCAGAUGUGAAAGCCCCGGGCUCAACCUGGGAAUUGCAUUUGAUACUGGCUGGCUAGAAUGUGGUAGAGGGAGGCGGAAUUCCCGGUGUAGCGGUGAAAUGCGUAGAUAUCGGGAAGAACACCAAUGGCGAAGGCAGCCUCCUGGGCCAACAUUGACGCUGAGACGCGAAAGCGUGGGGAGCAAACAGGAUUAGAAACCCCAGUAGUCC